GUUCAUAGUAUCCCAACGGCAUUCAAAUUUCAACAUUCAGUUUUGAAUUUGCCCUAUCUCAUUUCGCCCACUUUUCUUUUGAUUCAUCUCUCUCAAUUUUUCCAUAAAGUGUUGGUGCUUGAAUGAAGAAAUUGAGCAUGUCCGAGAGCUCUUAAUUUGAGGAGAAUUUGUCUCCUCCCAAACUUCUUGCAUGCAGUCGAAGUUUGGAAUGGGAAAACUUGAUUUUGCUGAGAUUCCGAUUGUAGAUGACGACCCGCAAUUUCCAUCAUCCUCCUCUCCAAAUCUUGAAUCUUGCUAUGAAGAUGCCUAGUUACGAUGAUCGGAUGGGAAGUAGCACUCGCCUCUAUGUGGAAAACCUGUCUUCACGGAACAGUUCACAUGAUCUGGAGCGUGAGUUAAGUAAAUAUGGGAGGUAAAAAAAAUUUAAAUUCUUGGCACAUCAUGUAUUUCUGUGUCUCACACUGUCAUUUUCUUUCUUACUGCUUUUGAUAUAGGCAGUUGCCAUUGAGCAACUGAAAUUGCGGAAAUUCUGUGAAAAAUUAUUUAUGUUACCAACAUGUAGUAUUGUUUGUUCAUUUCCUACAGAACCUUGCAUGAUAUUUUUCCUUUAUAUGUUGUCUUAUGGGAACUUUGUUCCAUCUACCUUAAAGUUCAAUGCAAUCCACCCACUGUAAGGCAUUUUCUGCUAGAUUAAAUUGAUCCUUCCUAUCCAAAAAUUGUUGCGCUUGUCUUACCAUGGCUGAGUCAAUUCUUGACUGCUAACUUCUAUAUAAUCUUUGUAUGCAAAUUUGAUAAUUUUCGUACACGCAUCUUAGCUAAUUAAAGUAUAUAAAUUCUUGAUUCAUGGUUGUUGGUGAUUGCAAUUGAUUUUCCUGUCAGUUGUAAGUAAUUGAAUUCUAGAAGCACAAAUAUUCUCGAAGUUGUUUGUUUAAGCCUCUUUAAGUUCUACUUGUUUGUCUACUGCUUCCUUUCUUCCUCCCGUCUAUUGUAGAAUAAGUUCUAGAAAUGUGUUACACAUUAUCCUAAAAUACUUGUAAAUUUAUAAAUUCUAUAGAUUUUAGCCCCCUUACAUCUAUUUUUUUUAGGCAAGAAAAGUUAUUUAGUCAAAUGAUCAAUUAACAAAGGUGGCAUUUUAUAUUAAAAGUAACUUUAGUUUCAUGGGUGUCAACUGGGACUUUGGAUCAAAGCCUUAUACAACUAACCCUUCACAACAACUAGAAGUACUCACAAUUACAAUUACAACAUAGUUUAGUAACACAAAAUGUAAAGAUGUGAUAAAACAAUUAUCCAACUGUAUAUUAAAAGAUUGCUUAGUUGCUGCCGCUGUUGACAUCAAAUUUUGGUCUGAUAGUUUUAAAAUUAAUAUUUCUUGAGUGUUUUAUUUAAUUCAAAAUACAUGUUUUGUCAUUUUAAUGCAAUUUGUAGAUAAUCGUCCUUUUCUCAAAUUAUUAGGAUUUUUAUUGGUUGUUAUGUUUAUAUUAUUUUGUCACAGCCAGACUUUCAAAUAUAUGUUCAUUUUUUAUAAAAUCAUUAUUUCUGUUAAAUUGCAUUUUUUACAUGUCAUUGAUUACUUUCACUAAAUUUUUCAUAUUCAUUUUACCUGUUACAUUUUUAAUAUUCAUUUUGAUAUUCUACGCAAUUCAAAAAUUUAUUCAAAUUCGAAUACAAUUUGCAUACACAUCUAUUUUAUCAAUGUAACAAUUUUUUAGGCCACGAUCUCAAGCCCAUCACUUAGACCCAUUUUUUUAACAACUCCUAUUUAAAGAAAGAUUUGCUCAUUAGGUUAAAGGGGUGUAAAAAAUUAUGUAUUUUCAGGUUUUUUUUAUUUAUCAUCUGGUCCACCACCACCAGAAAAUUAGCUAGAACAAUCCAUAUUUUCCGGUGAAGCUCCGGCCAACCAGAAUCACUUCCACCGUCAUCCCUCUUCCCCAUUUUUCUAGUGAAGCCUCACCAUGUGUUUCUUCAAACAACAUCUAGUUAUCACUACCUGUUUCUCCUCCCUUAUUCCCAUUUUUUUAAAAAAAAGAUAGAAUUGGAUAUUAAGUUUAUAUAUUUUAUAUGUUAAAAUUGGUCAAUGAGAAAAUCUCUCCAUCGAUUUUGGUGGCCUUCCCAUUUUACAAAGACAAAAUUUUGGUUUAACUUUAUAUAUUUUAUAUGUUAAAUUUGGUCGAUGAAGAAAUUAUCAUCGAUUUUCAAGGCCUCUCAUGUUAAUAAGACCGGUUUUGGAUUUGUAAGUUAUUAUUUGAUUUAUUCAUUUUUAUUCAUAUUUAUAUAGUAUUAACACUUUUACUA
Molecule: long non-coding RNA, 2292 nt
Organism: Solanum lycopersicum (tomato)
Lineage: Eukaryota; Viridiplantae; Streptophyta; Magnoliopsida; Solanales; Solanaceae
Source: RefSeq, a predicted model, not a curated record